RNAcentral lists this ribosomal RNA (97 nucleotides) under Erinaceus europaeus (western European hedgehog). The record is from RNAcentral. Lineage: Eukaryota; Metazoa; Chordata; Mammalia; Eulipotyphla; Erinaceidae.
GUCUACGGCCAUACCACCCUGAACACGCCUGAUCUCGGAAGCUAAGCAGGGUCAGGCCUGGUUAGUACUUGGAUGGGAGACUUAUGGAGUUUGGACU